Molecule: ribosomal RNA, 36 nt
Filed under: Epizoanthus paguricola
Lineage: Eukaryota; Metazoa; Cnidaria; Anthozoa; Zoantharia; Epizoanthidae
Description: partial 5.8S ribosomal RNA
Source: RNAcentral
GGGNUCUCCCAGGAGCAUGUCUGUCUGAGUGUCGGU